This 63-nucleotide transfer RNA is filed under the name Ceraphronidae sp. ZJUH_2016007. RNAcentral describes it as "tRNA-Glu". The record is from RNAcentral. Lineage: Eukaryota; Metazoa; Arthropoda; Insecta; Hymenoptera; Ceraphronidae.
UUUUAUAUAGUUUAAUUAAAAAUUUAAUAAUUUCAUUAUUGAGAUAAAUAGAUUUUAUAAAAU